CUACUUGUCCUCUCUGCAAGUACAACAUUCUCAAAGGAAACGAACAAGUAUGAUGAAUAGGAUUACAGAAACCCACCGACAUCUGGGUUCAUCCACAUGCUUCUUGUUCAUCUUUCUGUACAGAAGAGACUGGGGCAAAAGGAAAGAAACUUCUCCAAAUUCUUGUGAAAAUUACAAUAUAUGGCAUAGUCAAUAGAGCUGCAUUUGUCUUUUCCGGCCUUUUGAGAUGUCUUGAUUCUUCCUUUUUAUUUAGUUGUUUGAGCUGAGACACUGCAGAAAAAAGAAAAAAAAUAGUCACAUUUUGUAGGCUUUCUGCUUUUGGGUGAUGAAUUGUUUUGUAGUUAUACAUUUGUUUCUAUAUCACCUGCUAAGUAUGUAAAUGACUUUUUUUUUUUUUGUACAAUGCUGUUACAG
This 414-nucleotide unclassified non-coding RNA is filed under the name Hevea brasiliensis (rubber tree). Lineage: Eukaryota; Viridiplantae; Streptophyta; Magnoliopsida; Malpighiales; Euphorbiaceae. The record is from RNAcentral.